UUACGACCAAAUCAUGUUGAAACACCAGUUCUCAUACAAUCACCGAAGUUAAGCAACGUUGAGUCUGGUUAGUACCUAAGAUGGCUGACCGUUUAGGAAUACCAAGUGCUA
This is a non-coding RNA of Acanthosepion pharaonis, 111 nucleotides long. Lineage: Eukaryota; Metazoa; Mollusca; Cephalopoda; Sepiida; Sepiidae. The record is from the annotation of a GenBank genome assembly.